AGCCAGAAAACAUCUACUCUUGAGCCAACUCCCUCUUUUCCUAAGGAUCUCUGAUGAGCAAGGGUCAGAGGGAAAGACCCCCCACCCCUUUUUUAAAUCAUGUGUCGUGUAUAGGGUUUGAGCUGAUGUGUACAGAUGUUCACAGCUAAUUCCUCCUUCUGUCCUUUGUCCACUGUGGGUGCCUGCUGGUUGGCUUAGUUUCCUACCACUUCCCACCUUCCGUGGCCUCUCUCAUGCCACACUAAUCGCUCCACGGACAUUUCCGAUUCCUUUGCAGACGGCUAUGGUAACUAUGGUAACCAGUCCCGUGAGAGUCCCCUCUGGUUGAAUUGCUCCCUUAAAGUGGAACAGACGCUAAUUCUGAUGAAGAAGACUUCGCUAUCAGCCUGUGCCCUGCCAGAGCUCUGGUCAGUGGCUGCCCAGCUUGCUAAGAUGUCAUUUCUGUCAUGAGGUUAUUCCCACAGGAACCUCAGUACCUCUAUGAAAGGAUGGUGAUGUGAAUUGCUCUCACUUCCUUUUACUGGGUGUUAUAGAGAGGACGAGAGCCAGGACGCGUAGAGACACAGGCACACAGAGAGCAAGGCUCCCAGAGCCAUGCUUCAUCAGCUGUUGGAACAAGAAAAGGAAUUCAAGUGAACAGGUCCCCAACUUACUUACUUCCAUUUUGUUAAUGUGGUUUCUCAGUUAUUUAUGCUUACAGUUUUUAUCUUUUUAAAUGGAAAAUGUUUGAAAACGGGGAAAUGAAUAGAGAGGACUCUUCGGGGUCCCAUGGUAUGAAACUUUAGAUUGCAACAUUUGUUUAUGAGUGAACAAGCCCCAUGUUAUUUUUUCUGAGAAGAUGGGACCAAGUCCAGAUUAUUAUUGGAGAGAUAUUAGAGUUCGGCUCAUGCUAUAUUCUCAGAUCUCACUCAGUGAAGUUACCACCAAUAUGUAUUGAUAAAACCUAAUGUGCAUACCACGGCCUGCCAAGGCCACCUCUGUUGAUGUGAUUCACGUAGAAUCUGAGGAAGAGAGGUGCCUGGGGCUCUCUUUGCCUGGGCUUCCGGAUGGUUACUUGUGGAUAGUAUACAGAGAGGCUGCAUUUCUCAAACCAAGGGCUCCCUGUCUUCCACCUCAGCCCAGCUGGUACCCGAGGGCAUGUUUGCAUUUUUCCUGCUUUUUGUUCAUUGAGAUGAAGGCUUCAGUGGGUCCACAGGAAUGUGAGUGAAGGCUAGCCCAGGCCAGCAUUCUUCCAACACUCAUUUGAAAGUGUUUUUUAUUGUAUAUCAGCAGGAAGCAGUGGGAAGGUAUGUCAGACUCUGGCUUCCUUCUGUUGUUUCAUAUAACAGGACUUGUGUUUCUGAAUUCUCAACCUGUCUACUGUAGAGAGAGGCCUCUGUGAUUCCAGCAUUGGAGAGAGCUGGGACAGGUAUACAACCACCGUAUGAGGAAUCUUUAGAUGUGAGAGGUUCAUUAAUUCUCACAUCAGACAGCCCUGAUCGAAGUGAAUCCCCCACCCCACCCCAGGACCCCUAUGCAUCUUCACUCCUGUGUCUAGAGAAACAGUCACAGAAGAAAGGCUGUUGGAGCGGACUUGGGCUCUGAGGCCGGCUCAUUAUUUGGUGUUUACAGCAGAGGGCUCCAAGCUGAAACACCACUUUAACUUUCAGGAGUCUGCUUUGUCUUUGCUUUACCCAGCCAGCUCCUGGCUGCCUUUUCUAAGACGACUGCCAGCAGCCUAAUUUCUAUAAUUCAGGUGAUAAAAGUGCUAAGGAUAAAAGUCCUUCACUGACAAACAGCAAAUCUCUAAUUUAUUCCGUUUAAUGCAACAAUAGCUUAAGUGUCCUGUGUAACCAUCAGGGUGUUGAUAAUAACUUGGAAUCUUCUGAGAUAUUAGGACCAGCUUUAAACAAACAAACAAAAAUGUUUUGACUUCAAUACUGUUGCCAUGUAUUCUGUCUUAUGGAGCGGGCUUUAAAUCCAGUCAGAAAAUGCUUGGUUACUCCUGUGAUGUUCGAGCCACUGUCACACCAGUAGGCAUUGUCACCUUAGCCUUUCUUGUAGCUUUCUGGGUGCACAGCUGGCUAAGAUUAAUUACGUUUCUCUCUGGCUGGCUGUAUCGCAUCUUUUGGUGCUUUGAAAGGAAAGCAGGAAGGAAGCCUGGGUCAGUAUCUGCUUGGUUUCUCUGUGAUCUGUGACUCAAGCAUGUUGUGACUUCAGAAUAUGCAGGUAGCUCACAGGGGCUAGAGAAGGACCCCCACUACUGCUAUUCCAAGAGGAAUAUAAUAUUAAAUUGUCUUUUAGUGACUUCCUGAUAUACCCAUAGACUGGUUUGUUUCUUGACCCUCAUUUUGCAAUAGAUCAUGAUUAACAUAGAGACCCAUAACUGGCCAAUCUGCCCUGAAUAAAAGGGUGCGGCAUGCUCAUCCCCAAAUGGGACACCUGUAUUAUAUUCCCUCACAAGGCUCAAGGAUCGUUGUUGAAGAAGAGGCAGAAAGACUCUAAAAGUGAGACUCGGUAGAUGACUACAACACACAGUGCUUUCCAGACACAGCAGGGCAGUUAUACUGUGAACUUACAGAAUUAUGACAGCACACACAGGACCUUUACAAGCUCUAGUCAGCCAAAGUCCCAGCAUAGAUGUGGCAGGGUGGUGGGCAUAGAGUCCCAUCCAUAGCUGAGGAGCUAUUGAUAAGUGAUAGCUGCUGUGAAAGGGAGAGUCGAUUUCCUUCAAGGGUGAGGGCCUUGGUAGGUCAACCACACUCCAGGGAAUAGUGCCACACCCAAGACUAUUUGGAAUGUACAAGUGAGACUCUAUGGAUUUGGGAAAAAAAUAAGGAGGCAUGGAAUUGGGUAGGUAAGUGAUGGGGGGAGGAUCUUGCAGAAGUUGGGAAGAGAAGCAAAUAUUUUCAAAAUACAUUGUAUAAGUUAUUCAAAGAAUGAAUAAAGCAAUCAAAAAUAAAUGUUUGUAUUGCAUUCAUAUAUGUUUAUGGUGUAUGCAGAUGCAUGGGAGGUUCUGCAUGUGUUGUUGCGAGGUCAGAGGGCAGCUGUUGAGAGUCAUGUCUCUCUUUCCACUGUGUGGGUUCGGGGGUUGAACUCAGGUCGGCAGGCUUUAUGGCAAGUGCCUUUACAUGCUGAGCCAUCUCACUAGCCUGGUCUUGUUCAUUUUAAUAUUCUAAUUAUUUUCUUUUGUUUUUUGAUUACAUAAAAUCACUUUAUUGUAAUGAACUCAAAUGAAAAUAUCACACAGCUAGAUUAAUCACCUGUCCUGUUUCAAACUCUAUAUAUGUCAAUGAACUUCAGUAAUUAGAAUAGGUGUUCUGAAGCUAUGGAGUGCUGGUUAGGGCUUUACAUUUUACCACCAAUUACAUUCCUAUGUGUUUGACCACCAUAAAAACAGACCUAAAAAUGUCCAUGCACAGAUGAAUGGACAGUGGAAAUGUGGCACAUAUACAAGAGGGAGUAUUUUUCAGUUGUAAAAUAAAAAGAAUUUAAAGGAAAAUGGAUGGAUUCAGAAAGUAUACUAAGUAAGGUGACCCAAACUUGGAAACAUCAGCAAAAACAAAAAAUGCUUGUUAUCCCUUCUAUGGGGAUCUUAGACUAUGUUGUAAAUAUGCAAACAGGAUUAAGUGUGGAUGCAGAAUGACAUUUGAAAAGGAGACCCAGAUGGUGAGGAUGAAGGGGCUAUGGGUGAAGGACACGAGACAUGAAAGAAGAUGUAAGGCUACGGUUCUCUAGCUUAAACCUGAUAGUCUUGAUUCUUCUUUUGUUUAUUUUUAUACUCCAUAAUUAUAUUCAGUUGGUUAUAUCUUUGCAACUUACUACAUAUUGGGUUGAAAAGAAUCCGGCUUUGUACUAAACUGAUGCUACUUUAUGUAACCUAGCAAUUGGGAUUUUUUUUUGUUUGUUUUUUGACAAAUUUAUAGAUUGUAUAAUCUGUUCGUGAGAUGCUUGCAGUUUGUUAGAGUUAUCGGACAAAUGUGUCCAGCCGUGACUUCCACUGUACAGUUAUGGCCCAAGAAACCAGAUGAAGCAGCACACAUUCCACGUCUCAUUUGAAUGGUGAAUGGUAGGAAAAUUGGAAUCAUUCCUAGGAAAGAAAUGAAACAUCUUCUGUUUUGAAAGCAAAAAUAUACUCCUUUGAUUGACAGGGAUUUCCUUGGCGGAAAUGAAGACCCGCGUGGACUUAGAGAUCAAAGGCCUUUGGUAGCUGUUCCUAAUGACAACACAUAUUCUGCUGUUUGGGGUUUGUUUUUAUAUGAAAACUUUUCCAGACAGGGUUUGUCCAGUUGCCUUUUCUUCUCCUGUCCCUAAUCUUGCUUCUGUAUCUUCUGUCCAUGGCAGCUACCAACAUCUCACACAUCAUCUUUCCUCUCUCCUGAAGUCAGCUGCACAUGAUCCCAGGGUUUGCUAGUUGCUUUUUUCUGUAUUUCUGUCCACGAUAAAAACCACACAUAUGAGCUACUUGAAGAAGGAGGUCUGGGGUUGGUUUUCUCCUCUCCACCAUUAACCUCAGAGGAGUGCUGUCUCCUGGGGGUCCUUCCUGUCUAGUGUCAUUCCACUCUUGACUGUCAGGAAUGGGAAAGACCUUUGAGGCUCCAUCGUUGCCCUCAGCGAGUGAUCCUCUCUGCAAGGCUUCCUUACCACUCCAUGAUCCAAGAUAGCCUGGUGAUCUAAGAUAACCUCUCAUUUUGGCAAAGAGGGUCCCCUUCCUCUGUCAUUACUUUGCAUUUUGCUUGCAGUCUUUUGUCCUUCUUAACCUGCACUGUCAAUAUCCAUUCCAUGAAAUCUAUAGGCUGGAAUAGGAUACAUGACUGCUUUAAAGCCUUAAUGGAAAAGGGAAAUAAAGAAAAGUUGGGCUCAUGAUGAUGAUGGAACUGGCCAGAGCAGUAGCAUCAUCAGGAAGAGACAAGGGCUGAGAAUAAGUGAGAGUUGAUGUCCUUAGGGCUGCUCAGGCAACACACUCAAUCCCUGGCCCUGCCAUUACUAUAACCUAGAGCGAAGAGGAUGUGUCUGCCACAUCAGAAUGGAAUGCUGUUGCCAAUCAGCCAACAAAUUUACCCCAUCAGCCCAGAUCCCAUCUAGUCUGCUCCAUACGUGAGAAACAGAUUAUGCCUGUCGGCCUGGCCUUCAGUGGCCUCUUCACAAACCCCACUGUCUCUAAGAAGAAAACAAAAAACAAACAAACAAAAAACAAAAACAAACAACAACAAACCAGUGUACCAUUGAUUGAGAAGUCUAUAGUCAGAAUGUGCAAUUUAUUUCUGGCAGCUGUCUAGACACAUAUCUAAGUUAGUGAUUCAUAUGUGCAAUACCAACUUCAAUGUGGAGAGGAUUUUAAACCAUAAACUCGACUAUAUAAUGUAAGGAUUUCAAAACCAAACACUACAUGCCUAUAUUUAUAGAUUUAGCUAUACAGAAUACAACAAGACAUCAGGCUUAUUUUCCUGCCUCAGGCCUACUGGUACUACAAGACUAUGAUGCAGCCUAAGAAAACACUACAUUUUAAUUUCAGGGCAGGUAGCGCCACACAUCAGCAGUACCCAGGAGGGAUGGGGGCAGGGUGAGAAUAGCUCUGUGCUCCUGUGUAGACCAAGCAGGACUUUAGGGGAAUUCCAGUGUUAUUAGCCAGCAAGUUCAAGAGUUCAGAAGAGCAUAAGGACCCUACAUUAUAAUUGAUAUACUUCAUGAAACCAGAAGUGAAUUGCACAAUAUUAGAGACAACUAAUACCAUUUAAUCCUCUGCAGUCCUCUGGAUGGCAGAGGCUCCUCGGGCUCAGUCCUAUGAUUCCUUUCCUAUAUCAUUAACUUUUACAGUGAUGUGAUUUAAAAUCAGGUUUUACAUCUCCAACUCAAAGACCAUAAAAUAUGCUACCGUGAAGUUAAGGACCUGGUUUUUCUUAUAGAUUUUAAAUAGAAUAUUUACAUUUAGGUGUUUUGUACAACCCCCCACCCCACCCCAUGCAGAUUCAUACAAACAAUUCAAAAUAAAUUAAAAAAAUAAAACAACCCAGAGGGCUUAUGAGAAAAAAUAGAGUUAAAGUUAAGAGCAAAACACCAACUCUUUGUCAUCCAUGCAUACACACGCACAUAUGGGAGCGCGCGCACACACACACACACACACACACACAACCAACAAAGCAAAAAAUAGGUAAACAGAAAUGGCUCAUGUCAAAUAAUUGAGAAGUAAAUUCUAUAGUAAGUUGACUCAGAAGCAAGCUCCGACAUUUGCUUGUGGACUAAAUGCUUUGACAGUAUCAGGAAGGGUUUCAUGUGUGGUUCAGUGCGUGUCCCGUGUGUAUGCAGUAGAAGAAGUCAAGCUGUGUGACAGGAACAGAAAGUGGGUGGGAAUGGAUGGCCAAACCCAGGAAGCUGGCCAUGAGGGUGAGGGGUGCAUCAGCCAUUCUGCACAGGUGACCUGGGCCUGGUGGCUGCUGGGUAAAUCUCUCUGUAUCUACCUUGUGAUGCUCAAGGAUGAGUUCGAGGACAAGCAACUGUGAAGGUCAUGCAGCUCAAAUAAUCGGGUCGGAGAUUUUUAAAGCGUCGGAGAUUUUUAAAGCGACUCAUUAAGAAAACACACCUCUUUGCUUUUGUUGGUGCCUCUGGGGCUCCAUGACACAAGGUUCCAUGACACAGAUGGAGGUAGCCAGGUUUCUACAAUCGAAGCCAGAUAGAAAUAGCUCAAGGUGAGUCAGAAGAAAUACUGUAGGAUCCAUUGACCAUGUGAGAAGCAUUUUCCUUCACUUUGACAGUUAUGAGCUGUGGGGAGGGCGAGUGGGGGAGAUGGGAAAGGUUCGGGGCAGAGUGAAGGAUAGGGGAUAGGGGUGGGGAGUGUUGUGGGGAAUCAGUGUUCAUUCUGUCAAGUGUUCCACCCUCUCACAUGCUUGAGUUCACAGAUUUUCACACUGUCUUCAGUGAGGAGCAAGGGCGGGCUUCCGGCAUGCUGAUGGAAAGUUCUACCACUUCACUACUGACUGAUUAUGCAGUGACAGAGCUAAGUCCAGGUCUUCGACUGAGCAUGGUGAGUGCUCUGCAGAAAAGCCAUAAUACAGAGAGUCACAGCAUGCAUAUCAGUGGACACUGGAGAAUGUCAUGCACUCUUGAGUUUGACAAUGCCUUAUGUUUCUGCUGAGAAAAAGGUGAGCUGGACUGCAGUAACUCUGAGUUCGUGCAUGGCUGGAUCUGGAAGACACAUCCACAGAAGUCACACUUGAGCAUGAAGGUCUGAAUAGUACUCAAUAAUGAAAAAACAUCCCAGAUGUGUCAGGACUGUCCUGUGACCAAGUCACGCAAGGACUCGGAAAGCUUCUUCAGAAAAACAGCUGCAGAGAUAACACAGAGCAAUCACUGUUCAACAAGGAUUUCUUCAAGAUGUCAUAUUUCUGGUUGGUCCUGAAGGAGAAGAAUAGAGUAUCGCUUACACGUGCCCAUGAAACAUAAAUAUCUGGUUGCAUGUGAGAUGUCCUGGACCAGAGAUCUGCAAGCAGACGUGGAGGUGUGUCAGACACAUGGGUGCUAUGACAGGAAUGCUCUCUCUUAUGCUUGCGCUGAGGCUCUCUGGGUCAUUUUCCCCGGAGCAGUUUACAGAGGUGUAUACUGAGGUUGUACUGCUGUGAAACUCUUUUAAAACUGCAUGAUCUUCAGCAAGGCAUCCGGGCAUUGGUAUAUAGAGAGCUGCGGCUACAGCUGCGGCUAAGGUGAAGGCAAAAAACACAGAGAUGUCCAUGGCCAAGGCCCAGAGCAGAGUGAAUUCUCCACCUGGACCCAGCAGUGCUGCCCGCUUUGGCACACAGGUCAUGGAAUAUGUAUUCUUUCCUGUCGCCAGAUGUUCCUAAGUGGGCCCUGCCUGUAGCUCCUCCCUCAUCUCUGUACUGGGAUCCUGAAAUUUUACCAAGAUCUAUAACUGAUUUAGUGGCUUCAGCGUUUGGAGAUUCUUGGCUUAAGUCACAAGGAUGGGACUCAUCUCACCACUGAACCAGUCAGGAGUCAACUCUACUCUGCAUAACAAGUAUCCUACUUUCUUGGCAAUAGAAUGGAGUAAGUAGUUUCCACCUGGAGCCAAAAACUAACUGGAAGAAACUGGAGGCUUGUGUGGACAGACGGUCCAGCUUGUGAGGCGCUUGCUGUGCAAGCCUGAGGACUUGUGUUAGAUCCCCAGGCAUUCCUGUAAAUGUCUGAUUACGAGUACAUAUGUGCAAUCCCAGCACAAGGUGGCAGAGAAGUGGAUCCCUAUCGUGUGCUUGCCAUGCAGCACAACACUCAGUGAGCUCCAGGACAACUAGAGAGGCCCCCAUCUCAAACAAACAAACAAACAAACAGACAGACAGACAGACAGACAGACACACAAACAAACAACCCAGCGCGUGCGCACAUGCACACACACACACACACACACACACACACACACACACACACACACACUCACAUACAUACAAGGUGCAUGGUGUCCAAGGAACAGCACCUUACCCUUGUCUGUUGUUUACAUGCACACUUGUGUACACACACACAAAUGCACAUCUGCAUACACAAAUAAAGAUAGGACUGGGGUUAGAAAAAGAGGAUUGAACAAUAUGCUUUGGUUUCUUGUGAGAAGAGAAAGAAAAUAAAAGCAAAAACAAA
Molecule: long non-coding RNA, 8598 nt
Organism: Mus musculus (house mouse)
Lineage: Eukaryota; Metazoa; Chordata; Mammalia; Rodentia; Muridae
Product: predicted gene, 29879
Exons: 6
Source: RefSeq, a predicted model, not a curated record